AAUAGAUACCCGGGUAGUCUUGGCCCUAAACUAUGAUCACUAGAUGUCGGGGGGUAACCUUCGGUGCCGCAGCUAACGCAUUAAGUGAUCCGCCUGGGGACUACGGCCGCAAGGUUGAAACUCAAAGGAAUUGGCGGGGCCCGCACAAGCGGUGGAGCAUAUGGCUUAAUUCGAUGCAACGCGAAGAACCUUACCAGGGCUUGACAUGUACCUGCAAUCUCCCGAAACGGAGCCGCUUUCGAAGGUGGUACACAGGUGGUGCAUGGCUGUCGUCAGCUCGUGUUGUGAAAUGUUGGGUUAAGUCCCGCAACGAGCGCAACCCUCACGUUUUGUUACCAGCGAGUAAAGUCGGGGACUCAAAAUGAACUGCCUCUGUAAAGAGGAGGAAGGUGGGGAUGACGUCAAGUCAUCAUGCCCCUUACGCCCUGGGCUGCACAUAUGCUACAAUGGCUGCUACAAAGGGUUGCCAACUCGCGAGAGUGAGCUAAUCCCAAAAAGGCAGUCUCAGUUCGGAUUGGAGU
RNAcentral lists this ribosomal RNA (521 nucleotides) under uncultured bacterium. RNAcentral describes it as "bacterial SSU rRNA". It matches the Rfam family "Bacterial small subunit ribosomal RNA", at positions 777 to 1304 of the family's 1533-position model. The record is from RNAcentral.